GCUACGCCUCGUUAGGGCACCGUUGGCAUUUACAUUGCUGGAGACGUUGCCAAGGGAAGGGUUACGUUGACCAGGAAGUGACAUUUGGCGGGAAAGGAUGGCGGGAGGCGCUGCUGGGCAGCAGCAAAAGAUGCGGGAUUUUGUCUCCGGGAUUUUCCAGGGAAGCCCCGAUCUCAGGUUGAUCAACCCCCAAGCAAUGUAGCGUUAAGGACUGAAGCCCAGGAUUCAAUCAACCACAAGAGACCCCUUCAUAUGUCCCAUAGUUCGGAGGAUGAGAUUAAAAACGAAAAGAAGCAGAAAAGGCAAAAGAUUGAAAAGAAGUUAGGUAAUUGUAUUUUUAUGUGAUGGUGCUUAGGACGUACUAUCCAAUACAUCACUGUUUUUUGAAUUGGGAGAAACUAAAUAUAAACUG
This 412-nucleotide long non-coding RNA is filed under the name Naja naja (Indian cobra). RNAcentral describes it as "lncRNA (ENSNNAG00000011559.1)". Lineage: Eukaryota; Metazoa; Chordata; Lepidosauria; Squamata; Elapidae. The record is from RNAcentral.